RNAcentral lists this ribosomal RNA (499 nucleotides) under Campylobacter coli. Its description in RNAcentral is "partial 23S ribosomal RNA". It matches the Rfam family "Bacterial large subunit ribosomal RNA", at positions 1244 to 1735 of the family's 2925-position model. The record is from RNAcentral. RNAcentral also lists the same sequence under 1 other name. Lineage: Bacteria; Pseudomonadati; Campylobacterota; Epsilonproteobacteria; Campylobacterales; Campylobacteraceae.
UUUGCGUCGAAGGUAUACCGGUAAGGAGUGCUGGAGCGAAUAGAAGUGAGCAUGCAGGCAUGAGUAGCGAUAAUUAAUGUGAGAAUCAUUAACGCCGUAAACCCAAGGUUUCCUACGCGAUGCUCGUCAUCGUAGGGUUAGUCGGGUCCUAAGUCGAGUCCGAAAGGGGUAGACGAUGGCAAAUUGGUUAAUAUUCCAAUACCAACAUUAGUGUGCGAUGGAAGGACGCUUAGGGCUAAGGGGGCUAGCGGAUGGAAGUGCUAGUCUAAGGUCGUAGGAGGUUAUACAGGCAAAUCCGUAUAACAAUACUCCGAGAACUGAAAGGCUUUUUGAAGUCUUCGGAUGGAUAGAAGAACCCCUGAUGCCGUCGAGCCAAGAAAAGUUUCUAAGUUUAGCUAAUGUUGCCCGUACCGUAAACCGACACAGGUGGGUGGGAUGAGUAUUCUAAGGCGCGUGGAAGAACUCUCUUUAAGGAACUCUGCAAAAUAGCACCGUAUCU